Molecule: ribosomal RNA, 468 nt
Filed under: uncultured bacterium
Lineage: Bacteria
Description: partial 16S ribosomal RNA
Rfam family: Bacterial small subunit ribosomal RNA
Source: RNAcentral
GACGAACGCUGGCGGCGUGCUUAACACAUGCAAGUCGAACGGAAAGGCCCUGCUUUUGUGGGGUGCUCGAGUGGCGAACGGGUGAGUAACACGUGAGUAACCUGCCCUUGACUUUGGGAUAACUUCAGGAAACUGGGGCUAAUACCGGAUAGGAGCUCCUGCUGCAUGGUGGGGGUUGGAAAGUUUCGGCGGUUGGGGAUGGACUCGCGGCUUAGCAGCUUGUUGGUGGGGUAGUGGCUUACCAAGGCUUUGACGGGUAGCCGGCCUGAGAGGGUGACCGGCCACAUUGGGACUGAGAUACGGCCCAGACUCCUACGGGAGGCAGCAGUGGGGAAUAUUGCACAAUGGGCGGAAGCCUGAUGCAGCAACGCCGCGUGCGGGAUGACGGCCUUCGGGUUGUAAACCGCUUUCGCCUGUGCCGAAGCGUGAGUGACGGUAAUGGGUAAAGAAGCACCGGCUAACUACGUG